AACGAACGCUGGCGGCAUGCCUAACACAUGCAAGUCGAACGAAGCCUUCGGGCUUAGUGGCGCACGGGUGCGUAACGCGUGGGAAUCUGCCCUUAGGUACGGAAUAACUCAGGGAAACUUGUGCUAAUACCGUUUGAUGUCGAGAGACCAAAGAUUUAUCGCCUAGGGAUGAGCCCGCGUAGGAUUAGCUAGUUGGUGGGGUAAAGGCCUACCAAGGCGACGAUCCUUAGCUGGUCUGAGAGGAUGAUCAGCCACACUGGGACUGAGACACGGCCCAGACUCCUACGGGAGGCAGCAGUGGGGAAUAUUGGACAAUGGGCGAAGACCUGAUCCAGCAAUAGCCGCGUGAGUG
This 352-nucleotide ribosomal RNA is filed under the name uncultured bacterium. Its description in RNAcentral is "bacterial SSU rRNA". It matches the Rfam family "Bacterial small subunit ribosomal RNA", at positions 29 to 407 of the family's 1533-position model. The record is from RNAcentral.